This 702-nucleotide ribosomal RNA is filed under the name Vibrio alginolyticus. RNAcentral's name for it is "bacterial SSU rRNA". It matches the Rfam family "Bacterial small subunit ribosomal RNA", at positions 69 to 756 of the family's 1533-position model. The record is from RNAcentral. Lineage: Bacteria; Pseudomonadati; Pseudomonadota; Gammaproteobacteria; Vibrionales; Vibrionaceae.
GGAGCCACUGACUUCGGGGGACGAUAACGGCGUCGAGCGGCGGACGGGUGAGUAAUGCCUAGGAAAUUGCCCUGAUGUGGGGGAUAACCAUUGGAAACGAUGGCUAAUACCGCAUGAUGCCUACGGGCCAAAGAGGGGGACCUUCGGGCCUCUCGCGUCAGGAUAUGCCUAGGUGGGAUUAGCUAGUUGGUGAGGUAAGGGCUCACCAAGGCGACGAUCCCUAGCUGGUCUGAGAGGAUGAUCAGCCACACUGGAACUGAGACACGGUCCAGACUCCUACGGGAGGCAGCAGUGGGGAAUAUUGCACAAUGGGCGCAAGCCUGAUGCAGCCAUGCCGCGUGUGUGAAGAAGGCCUUCGGGUUGUAAAGCACUUUCAGUCGUGAGGAAGGUAGUGUAGUUAAUAGCUGCAUUAUUUGACGUUAGCGACAGAAGAAGCACCGGCUAACUCCGUGCCAGCAGCCGCGGUAAUACGGAGGGUGCGAGCGUUAAUCGGAAUUACUGGGCGUAAAGCGCAUGCAGGUGGUUUGUUAAGUCAGAUGUGAAAGCCCGGGGCUCAACCUCGGAAUAGCAUUUGAAACUGGCAGACUAGAGUACUGUAGAGGGGGGUAGAAUUUCAGGUGUAGCGGUGAAAUGCGUAGAGAUCUGAAGGAAUACCGGUGGCGAAGGCGGCCCCCUGGACAGAUACUGACACUUCAGAUGCAU